This 12213-nucleotide long non-coding RNA is filed under the name Malus domestica (apple). Its description in RNAcentral is "long non-coding RNA (MDOM_LNC016204)". Lineage: Eukaryota; Viridiplantae; Streptophyta; Magnoliopsida; Rosales; Rosaceae. The record is from RNAcentral.
UUCAUUUGUAAAUGUAAGGAAAUACAAGGGAACGAAAACCACACAAUUCACUGAUGCCCAAGAGGACACAAAGUUAUGAUCAACACUUCAGAAAAUCAUUGAAGAGGCAUAAGAGAAUUUAGUUGUAGGCAUCCUGGUGCUCCAAGAGGUAGUUCUCAACCAACUUCAAGAGGUGGGAAGACUUCUCUUUGCUAGCCUUGAGAUGCUCUUCAUUAAUUUCAACAUCACCCUUAGUGUGGUAGUGGCAUGUGCGCUUGAUGAUGGAACCGCUGCCAGAAGCCACCAACGUAGUCUCAUAAGAGAUCUUCUCAAUUGUCUCUGAGAUAGCAUCUCCCUCAAUCAUACUGUACUUGUACACAAAGUUGUCCUUGUCAAUCACAUCAAUUCUUUUUUUCACGUAGCCAUUUGUGCUACCUUCACCGAAGAUGAUCUUCUGAACAGUUCCAACUCCACCAUCUCCUUCAAGGAUCUCAAUGCUCUUCACUGCCUGUGGUGCAAGCUUGGCGAUGAGUUCAUCACCAUCAAGAGCAGUCGCAUUGAACAACCUAGCAGGGGGGAUGACGGAGGUGGUCUCGGAUUCGUAUGUGAAAACACCCAUGAUUUUGCGAAGUGUUUGGAAAAUAGAAAAAAAAAAUUGAUGAAAAGGAAGAUGAUGUAAUGGGAGAUUUUGAGAUGUGAAGAAGUGAAGGAGGAGGUAUGUAUUUAUAGAAUGAGGCUGAGGUACUCAUCAACGUGGGAACAUUAAUUUUUCUACAUAUAAUUUUGUAUUUCUGGAGAGGGGAGGGACCAUCUGGAUCUGGAUAUCGAAUAAGAAAAUGCCCCGCUUACCACAUGGUCGACGAACCUCAAUUAUUUAUCAUAACUGUUUGUUCCAUGACCAAUCAAUGUUGACUGAGCAUUUCCACCCUAAAAUGCCCUCAGGCUAUAGACAACUCAAUUAUUUGAGGUAAACAGUAAUUAUCUAAGUGCAUUUUUACUUUUAAAAUGAAUAGCUCAGACUAUUGGUAUUAAAAUAUUUUUUAUAAAAUAAUUAAAGAUAACUUUAUUUUUAAUUACGGAUAAAAUAAAAGAUUGGUUGAAAGUAUUUAAAAAUAUUGAAAUGUUGUAAAGUGAACGAACAUGAUUAGAUAUUUAUAUAAUUUUUAUUUUUAUUUUGAUUAAUUAAUUUUUUUUAUAAUUUUUAAUAAUUUAAAUUGUGGCUGACGUCACGAUGACAUUAACCUUGGGUACAUAGGCCAAGCAUUAGGCUAAUGAAUUAUCGCCUGAUUGAAGAAUUGGGCUCCCCUGGAGCCCAUGCCCUGGACUGGGUUGAACGGUUUUUGAGGGAGAAUGAAUGAUGCAUUAGAUUGCCCACUCCUAACGGAUUUGAUUGCUCUGGAGCUGUCCCGAAAAGGUAGAGGUGAGAAUAUACCUAUAACGUUUAAAGCAACUCCAGCGGAUGAGGUUGCUCGGGGGCCAUGCUUUCAAACAGGAGCAAAUUGCUAGGGGGAUAGGCUCCAGCGUUAGGAAGCCCGAGUGACAGGCGAGGCCCGAGGAGCAGGCCCGGCGUGGAUUGCCAGCCCGAGGGCUACGUCAGGCGCGUGUGCUUCACGCGCACAUCUUCCAACAAAAAAACAGCGCUGGGGCCCAUGACGCCUGUUUUGAAAAGUUACCGUUGGGGAAGCCACGUGGCUUCCCCAUGUUUGUUCGAUUGCAAUGGCCUUAUUUUAUGGACCAUUGGAUUUCCAACGAUAAAAAACAUUUAAAAAUUUUCAUUUAAUUUCAUCUGUUUAAUCUAAGAUCAACGGUCCACGUUAUUAGGCUUUGUAAAUUAAAAAAAAAGAAUAAAUAGUUAAAAAUUCUGAAAUGUUGCCGUUGUCCCACGUGGCACAAUCUGGAGUGUUGAAAUUCAAAAUUUUUAAAUCCAACGGUAGAGAUUAAUUAGGUGAAUAAAAAUUUGAAAAAAAAUGUAAAAAUUCUUUAAAAUCCGAAAAAAAAAAUUAUGAAAAAUUAUAAAAAAAUUUGCUUUUACUUUUCUAUAAAUACUUUCUCAUUAUCUUCUACCUUACACCACAAUUUCAUAUUUUCUCAACUACUUUCAACCACAUUCCUAUAUUUCUCUCAAAGUUUGAAUCCAAUUUUUUUUUCCAACAAAAUGACUACUCAAGCAGAUACGAAUUGGACGCUUCUUGAAGAUGUUGCGUUGACUAGCUGGGUUCAAGUUACUCAUGAUUCGCUUACGGGUAAUGCGAUGCAGUUGCGAGAAAUGUGGAGUCUUAUUCAUACCAAUUAUCUUGAGAAAAUGGGUGGGCAAAGAACUAAAGAAUCGAUGUCCAGUCGUUGGAAAUUACUUAGCCAAGUGUUUAGUACGUGGAGAGACGCCUUGGCACCAGCUAGUGGUAAUAUUCGAAGUGGGGAAAAUUUAGCGGAUCAGGUAACAAUAUAUUAUUUAUUUGUUUGUAUUAUUUAAUUGUUAGCUACUUUCAUUAUAAUUAUUUGUUAAGCUACUUUCAUUAUAAUUAUUUGUUUGUAUUAUUUAUUUGUUAGGUACUUUCAUUAUAAUUAUUUGUUUGUAUUAUUUAUUUGUUACCUAUUUUCAUUAUAAUUAUUUGUUUGUAUUAUUUAUUUGUUACCUAUUCUCAUUAUAAUUAUUUAUCCUCCCGCAUUGUGUAGGAACUUCAAGCACAAGCUUGGUAUGGUGCCAAAACCAAAAGCAAAAGCAAAACAUUCACCCGGUUUGAAUGUUGGAAUAUUAUCAAAGAUUGUCCUAAAUUCAUAAUUGUGCCUGUCGGUCCAGAAGUUUCAUGAACAGCGUCCAUCUACACUCUACACCCAAUCAUGCCUCGCAUGAUCGUAAUGAAGAUGAUGCAGAAGAAGUGCUUGAAACGCCCCUGAUUGAACAAGCGUCGAGGUCGACCCGUUUUCCAAUUAGGCCUCAAGGUAAGAAGGCUUCAAAAAGAAAAGGUAAUGCUUCCAAGAAAGAUUAUGCAAGGUAUAUGGAAAACGGGUCAUUUGGUGAAGCAGGGGUUAGGGAAAGAGACAGGGAGUGUAAGGAGUGUGGUUGCAGAUGAGCGUUUGCGGUAGAGAGAUUUUGGGUCUUCCAUUUGGCCAUCUAAUUGUUGUAAUCAGAUCAAACUGUUAUUGGUCUGUAGUUUUUGGGACUAUGGGUUUUUUCGCAUGAGGGAGAUGGUAUUGAUUGAUGAAUUAGUUGUGUAUUUUUCUGUUUUGAUUUUUCUUUGUUCUUCGUCCCCUCUCCAACGCCACCACCAACAUCACUUUCACUAAAUCAAGGUGGAUAUAUUUAGAUACAUAUUAAGAUGCAACAAUUGUACUAAUAAUUUCGUUAAUAAACUUAACCUUUUGAUACAGAUGUCGGUGAUCUCUACCAUCUCCUUUUACAUUUGGUUAAUAAAUCUAACGUUUGAUACAACGUGUUUUUAUCAAAAAAUUAGCAUAGCCUUUUGUAAUCAUAGCUUCAUUGUUUUCACACUGAUUUGGGAAUACAUAUGUGAUUCCAGAACCUUAGAUUCAGCUCUCCACCUAUGUUCUUAAUAUGUUUUGACUUGGAUGGUUUUUAUUUAGUGAUGAUAUGCGAAUUGAAAGUGAAAAAUGGUCAAAGUUGGGGGUUGAACUGGUUUUUUGGAUUUGUGGUCAGUUAUAGUGUUGUUGAGACUUUGGAGAGGAAUCUGAAUUUUGGAUUUUCAAUUACAGAAUGGCUUUCAAACAUGAAAUUGAGUAACCCCUGAAUUUUGGGCACUUCUGCAAAAGCAGGCCAAUUUCAGAUAUUUGAAUUGCAGGUUGCAUAAUCUUUCUAAUAUUCGAAGCACUAUUUGAUAUUUGAAUUGAUACUUGAACUGAAUAAACAUCAGAUAGGCCAAUCAAUUUAAAUAUCAGAUAUAAUUUUUGUAUUAUGUUUCUCAAUAUCAUAUUUUAAUCAUCGUUUUGGGGUUUUUAUUUGGCAUUUCAUUCAAGUAUUCUUUGCUUCAAAUUAGAAAACAAACUCAAGCCCUCAAAAACAAAUGCUUAAUUCUUAUGCAUUCUAUGUUGCUACCGAGGUUUACAAUUUUUUUAUUUUUUUGGUUUUUAUUUUUCCUCCUCAGUUAUUAUUUUCCUAUAUUGUAUUGUCUGUUUGGGAAUGCCUCUCUUUUUUUACUUGCUGAGAAUGCCUCUGUCAAAAUUUUAAUGGCCUUUCUUUGUUUCGUCCCUAUCAUUUUCCUCAUUUUCUAUGUCCAAUUAUAAAGCAUCUUUUGAUUUUUAUUGAUAUAAAGACCUUUUCUUUCUCCAAUUAUGCCUCUGUCAACUCUUUUUAAUUUAAAUGCACUAAUUUAGUACUCGCAUAUAUCUGAUUGAGUAGAUGAAAAAGAGAGGGAAACAUGAAUUAUAUAUGCACCUUCACUUCGUUUUCUUAUACGUCCUAUUGUUACGAGAUAAAUUUAACACACAUCCAUACUAACAGCUCCCGUUUUCAAAAUUUGUAGAAACUAGUUGUGAACCGUUGCAGGGAAAAUUCAGAAUCGAAAACACCUCUACAUACUGAAGAUUAUGUCUAACUUUAGCAUACUUGAAGCCGGUACGCUAUGCCAUCAGGUGCCUCUAAUUUUGUAAACUGUUAAUUCUAUAUUAAAAUUUGAAAUUAUGAAUCCUUAUUAUUGAAAUGCCAAUGAUCUGAAGCUCAUGACUGAAUUAUUACAGUUCUGUAAGAUUUAUUGAAUACUUUUUUCUAACUAUCUUUCGCUGCAGAAUCACCGCCACCAACAGCUCUGGCCGUGCAGUUCGUCAUCGUCCAGUAUUCCUCCAAAAUUCCACUAUCAUUCUUUGCUCUCUCCGACUCAGUGCAUCUCUAUUCUUCUAGGUACACCCAUACCUAUAUCCCAAACGACUGUUUAUAUGUAUCUAUUUGUUAGAGAAGGCUUUUGCCUUUUGGGUUCAAUUUUAUCUACUGUUUUUUUAAUUCAACAAUGGAGCUUGCAUUAUCACACGAGAAAUUGGCAAAUGAAAGCUGCUCCACUUGCACAGUGUAAAACAUUCAUUGUUAUUGUAUGAUGUCUUCUUAAUAUAAGAUAUGUAUCGCUCAAGGAUUAUAAAUUUAAUAAUUAAAGAACAAAAAAGGAAUAAAAGUUCCUGAAUUUAAAGCAUGCGUCACAACGAAUCAUGAACCCCCUUUGGUGGUGGGGUAUUGUAGAGGGAUAUGGUACACACGAGUACAAUUGGAAUAAAAUUAAAAACAUUGUUGUAAUUAAGCGGAACUAGAGUUGUAAACUCGCGGCAUCGCUCAUGCUUUUUUGCUAGUGCAUACUAUUUGAAAGGUACGUACUAACUAAUUAAACUCUGUAAAAUUUAUUGGAAAAGCUAACAACUUGGUUCAGUUCUAUGUUAGAGUGUUUUUAUAUGGUUUGUGUUAGGGUUUUCUAGAAUAGGAUAAGAAUUAUAUUUGUCUUUUCAUUUGUAUACUAAAUUUCCUAUUGCAUUGUCAGUUCAUUAUGUAAUGCAUGCGACUAUUGUUGAAGAGCUAAUAUUGCCCCAUCAUUUUCCACUAUUGAGAAAACCAUACAUCAACAACAAAUUACAUGCAUGUGAAAGCUUACAAUGCUGCAAUUACUUUAAUGUUGAAGGUAAAAGAAUGAUAACUUACUUAGGCCUCAUUUGAUAUAGGCGAUUGAAUUUGAAUAGGUAAAAAACUAUUGUCAAGAUAUGUUGAAUGUUGAAGAAAGAAAUGAAAAAUUUGUGACAAACAUGGAGUAAGAGAUGAAUUACUUAAGAAGAAAACUUAUCUAUUCCAAUCCUCCUUAAAAUGGUAGGAUUACAAAAAAGAGAAAUUUCUUUGGGUAAAUUACAUUUUACCACCUCAACUUUGGGUCUCAUAUAAAUCUCAUGCCUUAUCUUUUAAACAUUGCAAUAUCAUACAUCAACUUAUCGUUGUAAUGUCAAACCUCCAUCAACUUUUUUGUCAAAUUUUCUGUUAAAUGCUGACAUGGUAGACGGAGGACCCACUCCCUAACCCAACCGGAUUAAAAAACUAAUUAAAUAUUAAUAAAAUAAGAUUAAAAAAAAAAGAAUUAAUGAAAAGAAAAAUAAAACUCUCUUCUUAGCCACCACCAUGAACUCGAGUCGAGCUCUCUGACCUCGUGCACUGGAAGCUCGCCCAUGCAAAUGGCUACCAUUGUUGCCGCUAUUUGAAAACUUUGAACCGGUGAACCCAAGGCUGCAUCUCUUGAAACCUCCUCUUCUCGAUCCGAUCAUAGCCUCCGACCCAUUGCUCCUAAUUAAUUGGAGCUCACAUGCCUCACUACUAAACGACUGCCAUUCCCGAUCUAGUCACCGCCUCCAAAAAGCCAGUAGCGUCGACUACAGAUUGCAACGAUGCUGUUUUGAAGCGUCGUCUUCCUUGAUUACUUCGCCUCCCUCAGUCGCGCUUGAAGCACUAUCUCACUAUUUUCUGGUGAGAUCGAUGAGAUUUAGAGAUUCUUGAAGAAUCUCGUAUGGGACUGGACACCCUCAUCGUUGCAGUCGGAGCAAACCCACAUGUGGGUUUUGUGGUUGGGGUAGCGAUCAAUAAUGGUGAAAUUUGAUAAAUUAGGGAUUUCGGCUUGUUGGGGUUUCUGAAUUUUUUUUGUAAAGAUGUGAAAUUGGUGUUGCUUUUGCUUUGUUUGAUGGAUUUGGAUAAACAAAGUAGAUUGCCCGCAUAUUCUGAUAAAUUGCUUCGUAUGGGAUUUUUGUUUUUGUUGCUUCAUUAUGUUUAAGUUGAGAAGGAGGAGGAGUAUGACGACGUCGUUGGAUAGUAGUGGUGGUGGUUGCUACUGGGGGUUUGAGGAGGAAGACGACGGCGACAAGAUGCAGGUGAAUUGGAGAAGAAGGGUGAGGGUGAUGGUUUGAAGGGGUGGGUUCCAUAUUUUUUUUAUAAAAAUAUUUAAAUGAUUUUAUUUUUAAUAUUUAAUUAAUUUUUUAAUCUAGUUAGACUAGGAAGUGGGCCCACCUCAAGCUACGUUAGCAUUUAACAGAGAAAUUUAAAGAAAAACUGACGGAGGUCUAACAUUGCAACAAAUUCGAAAGAUGAGGUAUGACAUUGUAAUUUUAAAAGCAUGAGGUAUGAGAUUGUAGUUAGGGGUGGGCAUAAAACUGCCAAACUGCAAAACUGCAUCGAACCGUAUGUUAAAAAAAUCGAAAAAAACCGUGUUGAUCGGAAAAGUCAAUUUUGAGCCAAAAAUCGAACCGAACCGUUCAAACCGGUUUUGGUUCCGAUUUCGAAUGAUCAUGAACCGGCCAGAACCGAACCGAAUCGUUUUAUUAAUAAUAAAUAAUUUAAUUAUAUAUAUAUAUACACAUGUCAUGGUAUGAUUGGUGAAAAUUUUGUUUCACCAAAUUGCAAAGCAUUGGAUUUUAUCCCAAUUAGGGUUCAUUCGCACUAAGUCGCUGACCUUACGGCCUCACACACUCACACUCCAUUUCCUGAUUCCCCCAUCCCAUUUCACACAGAGAACCGACCGGCGACCACCCACCCACUCACGACCUCAGACCUCUCAUCCAAAAUAUCAGCGAUUCAGCCCACAACCUUAACUGCGACGGCCCUCAUCAUCCCUCCUUCGCGACAGCUUAGACAUUUCGUCCUCCAUUGAUCUGUCCUCUGUGACAGCUUAGACAGUUCCUUGGUAUUUUCUCUAUCUAUUCUCAUAUUUGAGAUUAGGAAUAUGGUUGAAUUCCACUGGAAGUGUGAAGCUGAUCAAACUUCCAUUGCUAUAUGAUCUAAAAGCAUUGUUAAAAUCUUUUGACAUAGAUAAAAGGAAGUAUGCAGUUUAAGCUAAUUCAAUGGUACAAGAGUCUGAUAUAAGGAAGCGUGGGCAUGGUUUAUGUUGUUGGGAACCACUUAAUGUUUACAAAUUUUGGUCUUAGAAAUUUUAAUAUUUUUAAUUAGAAAAUUUUGGUCUUUUUCCUUAUUCUCAGAUUGGGAUUCAGCAUCAUAAUACAUGACAAUACUUUAUGUGGCUUUUCUACUUUUCUUUUGUAGUAGUUUUUGUUUUUUUUGUUUUUGCAAAUCUUUAAUUAAGGUUGUGUAGGCUAGAUUACUAGCAUUUUAAUUUUUAACUAGAUGAUUGUUGAAGCCUACGAAUAAGGUUAUGCUUGUUGAAUUGCUUAGAUUAGUCUGUACAGUAUACUGCCUGGUGGCUGUAGCUUAAUACUUGCAUGAUCUAUAUUAUUGAAAUGUCUUGUUUAAAUUCAAGGCUAUGAAAAUGUCAUAAUUUUCACUUUAUAAGUGGUUACAAAUAGGUGUUAUCUCUCUUUUCCAUGGUUUUUCUAGUGAAAUAAAAUGAGUAUUGGAGAAUGAUUUUUGGUUUUUAUUUGGUUUAAUUUGAUUUGUUGACUGACUGACCAAUAUAGUGGGUCAAGAAUCAAGAUUGUUUACACGGCAAAUGAAAAAAGCAAAAAAUUUUGGUAUUGGACAAGCAUUUUGAUACCACAGAGGUAAUGUGUCUAUCGACUUUUGUUGCAUUGUCCAAUCAAUUAUGUGCCAAGAGACUCAUGACAACUGACACAUAUGGCCAAGUUUGCUGAUCAAUGUAUAUUUCUUUUAGUUAUCUUUUUUGUUGACUCGGUGCUACUACCAAGGACAUUUACAUUAGAAAAGAUGUCUUGGAUGCAACUUUAUAUAAUCAUUUUUAGAAGAUAUAUUUGAAUGCAUAAUGAUUUGGUGUUCAAAUAAUUUAGUAUUCGAAACUGUAAACCGGCAAGAACCGAAUCGAAAUCGGUGUAGACCGAACCGUAAGGUUCUAAUAAUAAAUUUAAGUGGAAUCGCAUCAAACCGAACUGUUGAUAUUUUCCGGUUCUGGUUCCGAUUUAAGGGUGGAAUCGUACUGAACCGCAUCAUGCCCACUCCUAAUUGUAGUUCGACCCAUAGUUGAGGUAAUUUUGUGUAAUUUACCCGAUUUCUUUCAUCUAACCCUAUUCUAUUCUUGUCAAAAUGAAAAAUUACUGGAAAAUUACAUUUUACCACUGCAACUUUAGAUCAUAUAACAAAUGCAUGUUCAUCUUUUGAACAUUUCAAUGUCAUACAUAAACUCACAAAUCCGUUGCAAGGUUAGACAUCUAUUAGAGAAUUUGUUAAGUAAUGAUGUUGUAACAAUGGAUUCCAUAUUUAUGGACUGAUGUAGUUGCUAAUUUGUUCCAUUCCAACUGAUAAAAAUUAUUUAAUUUCUUUUUAUUAAAAAAAAAAAACCAAUGCUUCCCUAGAUAUUGAGAGAUUUUUCAGUGUGAUCAGUAUACAAGGUGAUACACUAUGUAUCACAAUACAAAUGGUGAAAUUUGUGUGUUAAAAAUUUAAUAACUUAAAAAAUAAAAUUUCUCACCAUUUAUAUAAAAACACGUAGUAUACCACCGUAUUCCUUUUAUAUUGAAAUUUUUUUCCUAGAUAUCACCAUUGUUGUUGUUUGUUUUAUUUUUUCUGGUUUAAUCCCUUCACCCACCCCACCUAACCUCCGCCCACUGCAACCGUUGUCCUCGUUGCCGGAAAAGUCUCCUCUCUAUCUUCUCAUCCUUGCACUCUCUGGUCUAGGCCCUUAGGUCAUCUCCAACCGAAGGGUCCAGAGGGCCAGAGGGCCGAAAAUAGCCCUAAAACCGUCUCCAACCGAGGGCUAGGCCAGAGGGCUCUGGAAUCUGGGAGGGCCCCACGGGAUCGGAGAGGGCUGGAGGGCUGGAGGGCUGGCUGCUUUCGGCCAGCCAGCCAGCCCCGGGCUGGCUAUUUUUUUUUUAAUGAUUUCCUAUUGCUGUCGGUUAUAGCCGACAGCAUUAAAGAUAUUCUUUUUUUUUUAAUAGUUCUACUAUUAGUGUCGGUUAUAACCGACACUAAUAGUUUGAAAUGUUUUUUAAUAUAACGGCUAGUAGCCGUUGUAUUAUUAGGCCUCUUUUUUUUUCUUUUUUUUUUUAAUGAAUGUAAACUUCUUUUUUUCCCCUUUUUUUUUCCUUUUCAUAUGAAUCAAAUUUUGUUUCAUAUUUUUUUUCCUAUAACUUUUAUUUCACAAAAUUUGUUUCAUAUUUUUUUUCAAUUCUAUUUUUUUCGUAUAACUUCCUAGGCCAUUUAUACAACAUUAAAUUGUAGUUUUUAAAUAAUAAAUUAUGUUUGGCCCUAUGGCCCUUUGGCCCUCGGUUGGAGACGGUUUUUUGUGACAGGGCUAAAACGAGCCCUUUGGCCCUCUGGCCCUCGGUUGGAGACUGAGGCAAAUAUGGCCCUGUACUGUUCAUUAAAAUAUUAAUAUCUUGGGGAAUCUUGGAGGGCUAGAGGGCUCAAACGAGCCCUCUGGCCAGCCUUCGGUUGGAGAUGGCCUUAGUCUAUCGCCGGUAGAUCCCGCCUUUUGCAGUCACCAAUUAGCCACCAUGUGACCAUGACUCAUGCAGCGGCGUAGUCAUCGCCGCCAUCAGGAGAAUAAUCAAAAGUUCAAAAAGCUCCGCUUCCAAAUGUGGCCUGUGAUAAUACUGCUUUGCUUUUGAGAAAUUCUCGAACGGAACCGAUCACCACUGCUCGUUUUGCGGGAGAGGUUUAUGUAGAGCUCGAAUGAAAUGGUUGCGAUCAUGCAACUUUGUCGCAAUCCCAUUCAUUUGAGAUUUGGGAAGGACUGGGUCAGGUCUGGAUUGGGAUGGUGGGGUAUGGUUGGGAGGGAUUAGUUCAGGUUUGGGUUAUUAUUUAAGUUGAGGGAAUGCCUAUCAUUCAAAAAUAGAGUAAACUGUCGGUUUACCCCCUGAACUUUCACUUCACUUUCGAUUUCCCCCCUGAACUUUUCUAUUGGAAAAUUAAGGACUCAAACUAAUUUUUUUAGCCAAUUUGCCCCCUACCGUUAGUUUUUCAUAUAUUCCAUCCAUAUUUCCGUUAAGUGAGACCAUGUGCACAACAUGUGAGGGAGUUAAGUCAUUUCACUCUUAAAAAUGAUUAAAAAACUGAAAAAAAAAAAAAACAAAACUUUCCCUCUAUUUCUUCCCGCUAAUUCCUAUCCUCGAUUUUAUUUUUCCCUCUCAUUCCUAUGCAUGAGAAAUGACAUAUGGUGUUAUUGUCUACAAUUUUUAUUUUCUCUAACAAAUUAAUAAUUUGACAAAUGCUAAUGGUGCUAUUGUCUCCAAAGCAGUGCAUUAAUAUAAGAAACCCUAGUCUUUUUUAUGGACAUGUUUCUUAUAUUAAUGUACUGCUUUGAAGACAAUAACACCAUGAGCAUUUGUCAAAUUAUUAAUUUGUUAGAGAAAAUAAAAAUGGUAGUACAUGAUUCAAGAAAAAGAUUAACUUAGCUACUUAUGAAGUCAAUAACACCAUAUGUCAUUUCUCAUGCAUAGGAAUGAGAGGGAAAAAUAAAAUUGAGGAUAGGAAUUAGCGGGAAAAAAAUAGAGGGAAAGUUUUUAUUAUUAUUUAUUUUCAGUUUUUAAUCAUUUUUAAGAGUGAAAUGACUUAACUAUCCUCACAUGUUGUGCACAUGGUCUCACUUAACGGAAAUAUGGAUGAAAUAUAUGAAAAACUAACGGUAGGGGGCAAAUUGGCUAAAAAAAUUAGUUUGAGUCCUUAAUUUUCCAAUAGAAAAGUUCAGGGGGGAAAUCGAAAAUGAGCUGAAAGUUCAGGGGGUAAACCGACAGUUUACCCUUCAAAAAUAUUACAAUAAUUUAAGAAAUGAGGAGUUUCGAACUCGGGACACAUAAUGAAAAUUCAACACUCUAACCACUUGGAUAUUAUAUAAGUUUAUUAUAAUCUUUAGUUGAAAUUUGCUCUUAAAAAGAUCAGUUGGUGAUUAAUAUGAAUUACAUAUGUAAGUUUGGGUCACAUAUAGUUAUAAAAUGAAGCUUUAAAUUCAUUACCAAGGUGCACAAAAAAAAUGCAAAUAUAUUAUCAAACCUCCAUGAUUUUCUUUUUAUUCAUUUGUAAAUUUAAGGAAAUACAAUAUUCACUGGUCACUCAAAAUCUCGAAUUACAAGCCUAAAUAGUAUUCCAGAAGCAGAAGUUACAAAUAAAGGAACGAAAACCACAUAAUUCAUUGAUGCUAAAGAGGACACAAAGUUUUGAUCAACACAUAGAAAAUCAUUGAAGAGGUAGAAGAAAAUUUAGUUGUAGGCAUCCUGGUGCUCCAAGAGGUAGUUCUCAACCAACUUCAAGAGUUGGGAGGCCUUCUCUUUGCCAGCCUUGAGAUGCUCUUCCUUGAUUUCAACAUCACCUUUGGUGUGGUAGUGGCAGGUGCGCUUGAUGAUCGAACCGUUGCUGGAAGCCACCAACAU